This 229-nucleotide ribosomal RNA is filed under the name uncultured bacterium. Its description in RNAcentral is "partial 16S ribosomal RNA". It matches the Rfam family "Bacterial small subunit ribosomal RNA", at positions 118 to 347 of the family's 1533-position model. The record is from RNAcentral.
UGGGCAACCUGCCCCAGACUCAGGGAUAACCCCGGGAAACCGGAGCUAAUACCCGAUACUCCGAUCGAACCACAUGGCUCGAUCGGGAAAGCUCCGACGGUCUGGGAUGGGCCCGCGGCCUAUCAGCUUGUUGGUGGGGUAACGGCCUACCAAGGCGACGACGGGUAGCUGGUCUGAGAGGACGACCAGCCACACUGGAACUGAGAUACGGUCCAGACUCCUACGGGAG